AUUGAACGCUGGCGGAAUGCUUUACACAUGCAAGUCGAACGGCAGCACGGACUUCGGUCUGGUGGCGAGUGGCGAACGGGUGAGUAAUGUAUCGGAACGUGCCCAGUCGUGGGGGAUAACGUAGUGAAAAUCACGCUAAUACCGCAUACGAUCUAUGGAUGAAAGCGGGGGAUCGCAAGACCUCGCGCGAUUGGAGCGGCCGAUAUCAGAUUAGGUAGUUGGUGGGGUAAAGGCCCACCAAGCCAACGAUCUGUAGCUGGUCUGAGAGGACGACCAGCCACACGGGAACUGAGACACGGUCCAGACUCCUACGGGAGGCAGCAGUGGGGAAUUUUGGACAAUGGGCGAAAGCCUGAUCCAGCCAUUCCGCGUGCAGGAUGAAGGCCCUCGGGUUGUAAACUGCUUUUGUACAGAACGAAAAGGUUUCUACUAAUACUAGGAGCUCAUGACGGUACUGUAAGAAUAAGCACCGGCCAACUACGUGCCAGCAGCCGCGGUAA
Molecule: ribosomal RNA, 500 nt
Filed under: uncultured bacterium
Lineage: Bacteria
Description: partial 16S ribosomal RNA
Rfam family: Bacterial small subunit ribosomal RNA
Source: RNAcentral